AGAUAAGAACCCUGUAAUUACCAAGGUGGCGUCCGCUCAGCGCCAACAGCCUCAUUUUGGCUCAUGAAACCUAGUCCAAUUGGAUGUGCUUUCCCAAGACUUGCUGCCCUUUUCUGUUGUUAAUGUUUCGAGACAGGGUCAUGCAAUGGAUUCCAGGCUGGCUUGUAAACCGUCUAUUCCCUCUGGAGUGUGCCACGGGGUGAAGAUGAGAACGGCUGCUCUCGCUCCUGGUUUGCCAGUUCGUCCUGUGAUUUAAUUAACUGCAAAAAGCGUCUGGGUAAGAAGACGCGGCCCGGAAUAUUACAAUAAGAAGGAUUCUGUCCAUGUUGACUGAAGAAAAGAAAAUAAAAAUUGGCGCUGUAAACGGAGAACCCGAAAUUCUGUUUAGGUUUGCAUGAUUCCUGGUUUCUGCCAGGGCUAAAAGACUGAAAAUCGGUCCGUGCCGGAAGGAAAAGCCGUGCUGAGAGGACACACAGAUCGUCUCUUUUCCCUCAGCAGAACAGCAAUAAAACAGCGUAUUCAUCCUU
Molecule: long non-coding RNA, 527 nt
Organism: Microtus ochrogaster (prairie vole)
Lineage: Eukaryota; Metazoa; Chordata; Mammalia; Rodentia; Cricetidae
Source: RefSeq, a predicted model, not a curated record